AAAUCGCGUUAGGGAUAGAGGCGGUAUCCUUUUGCAAGCGAAGCGAUGCAAAAGAUUGAGCCGAAAGCCCGGUCUGCU
Molecule: unclassified non-coding RNA, 78 nt
Filed under: Flavobacterium frigidimaris
Lineage: Bacteria; Pseudomonadati; Bacteroidota; Flavobacteriia; Flavobacteriales; Flavobacteriaceae
Description: Flavo-1 RNA
Source: RNAcentral